RNAcentral lists this ribosomal RNA (372 nucleotides) under Triticum aestivum (bread wheat). RNAcentral's name for it is "partial small subunit ribosomal RNA". Lineage: Eukaryota; Viridiplantae; Streptophyta; Magnoliopsida; Poales; Poaceae. The record is from RNAcentral.
AUGAUGCAAGAACUUGUUAAGCAACACCUACUUCGAGCUCAGCACCAUAUGAAGCAACAAGAAGAUAAACAUUGUUCGGAUCAGGUGUUUCUGGUGGGAGAUUUUGUUUAUCUCAAGCUUCAACCAUAUGCACAAAUGUAUGUUGCUCGUCGCGCAAAUUACAAGUUGUCCUUCAAAUUUUAUGGUCACUAUGAGGUGCUUGCUCGCGUGGGAAAGUCGGCCUACAAAUUGAAGCUUCCGACAAAUAGUCGUAUUCAUCCACUGGUGCACGUUUCCCAGCUGAAGCCCUCUCUACCAGCAAAUCAAGUGCUUUCUGGUGCUUCUUCUUUGCAUCUGCUUACAGAUGUUCCAGUUUCUAUUCAGCCGGGGUAG